GGGUGAGUAACACGUGGAUAACCUACCUAUAAGACUGGGAUAACUUCGGGAAACCGGAGCUAAUACCGGAUAAUAUUUUGAACCGCAUGGUUCAAAAGUGAAAGACGGUCUUGCUGUCACUUAUAGAUGGAUCCGCGCUGCAUUAGCUAGUUGGUAAGGUAACGGCUUACCAAGGCAGCGAUGCAUAGCCGACCUGAGAGGGUGAUCGGCCACACUGGAACUGAGACACGGUCCAG
This 236-nucleotide ribosomal RNA is filed under the name uncultured Staphylococcus sp. Its description in RNAcentral is "partial 16S ribosomal RNA". It matches the Rfam family "Bacterial small subunit ribosomal RNA", at positions 104 to 334 of the family's 1533-position model. The record is from RNAcentral. Lineage: Bacteria; Bacillati; Bacillota; Bacilli; Caryophanales; Staphylococcaceae.